Fukomys damarensis (Damara mole-rat) is the source of this 1382-nucleotide long non-coding RNA. RefSeq lists it as uncharacterized. The transcript has 4 exons. NCBI's taxonomy places the organism in Eukaryota, Metazoa, Chordata, Mammalia, Rodentia, Bathyergidae. The record is from RefSeq and is a predicted model, not a curated record.
ACUUUGGACCGGUGCCAGCCGUGUCAUCCGUCCUGCAGAUUCGCAGCCCCAGGCUUUGCAGAAGAACUGAUCUGGCCCCCCACAUUCACGUUUCUUCUGGUGAAGCUUCUGGACAGACAUAGAAAUACUGCUUACGUGUGUCACGUCGAGCUCCUGGAGUCUUGCAUCCAUAUCCAGGAAAAGGCUGUUGGUCAGACGGAUCCCAAUCCAUGGUGACCAGGUCGCAAAGGUCAACCAGUAAGUCCGCGAACCAGGUGGUGGGGGAAGCCAGCUUGGAAGUGGAAUUUGCUAUGGUGUCUGUCAUCGUAUUGUAGAUGGUCCAGGUCACAUUUAAUGGCUGGUGUGGACUCACCCUAGUAGUGAUCUGUCGGGACAAAAACUAAUAAACAAAUUAGAUGUAUGGCAGUCAGUUUCUAAUGUUUUGGUCCCUUGCAUCGGGGGCAUCUAUCCUUGGUGUCUGGCCUCUUUUUUUUGUUAUCCAAAGCUUGAGUGGGUUGGUUGGGUGUCACUGGAUUUUUUAGUCCGUUUGGGGCGUUGUCUCUGUUGCCUUGACAUGGUUGUGAUGAAUUCAUGUUGGAACCCCAUCGACCUUUAUAGCCGAUGGGGUCACAAGGAUCAUGGUGUGAGGCCCUUUCCAACGGGGUUCAAGGUUCUCAGUUCGAUGUCUCUUUAGCAGCAUUGAAUCACUCGGCUGGAAUGGAUGGGCCUCUGGUCACGGUGUUAUUCCUGUAAAGAUGUGACUAAUGUAUCUGUUGGAGCAAACUUUGUGCAUACAAAUGUGACUUUCCAGGACAUUUGAGAAGUAUGGAAGAGAAAACUCCAUGACUCUGACAUCCCCAAGACCCCUCCGCAUCACUGCCCUCCCUGACGAAGACAGGCCUGCAGGUUUCCCAACGUGGAUUGCAGAACCCCUCUGUUCUUUGCUUUAUUUAUUUUCAGUUGACAAACAAUAAUUGUCGACUGUUAUUAGAAUAUUAUUACCCAUCGUUUCACUGGUUCCUUUUUGUGUGAGCAUUUUAGAAGUCUGUUGUUGUAGUGCUGCUGAACUAGACAUCAGUUUUUAACUGUGGUCGCCACACAGGUCAGCAGAUCAGUAACACUGACCCCUUCCAUCUGAGUCUUAACCUUUUGUCUACACUACUCUUUCUCCCAUUCUUCCCCUUGUCCAGCCUCUGGUAAUCACCUUUCUACUCUGAAAUGGAUUUUUAAAGAUUUCAUCUAAAUGAGAUCACAUAGUAUUGGCCUCUCUGCUUGACUUUUUUUGUAAAUGCUCAUGACCGAGCAUAACGUCAGCACUUCCUUCUUUUUUCCAGACAGUACGCUAUUCCAUCGUGGAGGCAUGCCACGUUUUCUUCUAUCGAUGGGCACCCAGACUGCUUAAA